This 377-nucleotide transfer-messenger RNA is filed under the name Sedimenticola sp. It matches the Rfam family "transfer-messenger RNA". Rfam says of the family: Bacterial tmRNA, also known as 10Sa RNA or SsrA, is named for its dual tRNA and mRNA-like properties. Its role is to liberate the mRNA from a stalled ribosome. To accomplish this part of the tmRNA is used as a reading frame that ends in a translation stop signal. RNAcentral also lists the same sequence under 1 other name. Lineage: Bacteria; Pseudomonadati; Pseudomonadota; Gammaproteobacteria; Chromatiales; Sedimenticolaceae. The record is from RNAcentral.
GGGGGCGACAUGGCUUCGACGUGGGUUGCAAAACCUGAGGUGCAUGCCGAGGAUACAGAUAGCCUCGUUAAUAAAUCUGUAACACUAUAGUUGCCAACGACGACAACUACGCGCUCGCUGCUUAAAAACCAGUAGAGGCCGUCUGACCGGAGCCGUGCUUGUGCGUCCGGAGUCUCCCUGGAGACACUCAGGCGUCGAUUCUCACAAGAUCGUGAUGACGCUCGUCCGGGGCCGAUUCAUUAAAACCCAACCGGAAUCGCCGUCCGUCUUCCCUGCCCGUCGGGUAGCGGCCGGUUAAACUCAAAGACCGGGAUAAGCAUGUAGAGCCAAAGGCGGAGAGCUUGCGGACGCGGGUUCGAUUCCCGCCGCCUCCACCA